AAUCGCUAGGGGAGCACUUGCUGAGAUUGAGCCGCCAGGCUCUGACCCUCAUAACCUGACCCGGUUAAUGCCGGCGUAGGGAAGCACUGAU
RNAcentral lists this non-coding RNA (91 nucleotides) under uncultured Kineothrix sp. RNAcentral's name for it is "TPP riboswitch (THI element)". The stretch from base 5 to 85 matches the Rfam family "TPP riboswitch aptamer (THI element)", at positions 8 to 91 of the family's 105-position model. Rfam says of the family: Vitamin B(1) in its active form thiamin pyrophosphate (TPP) is an essential coenzyme that is synthesised by coupling of pyrimidine and thiazole moieties in bacteria. The previously detected thiamin-regulatory element, thi box was extended, resulting in a new, highly conserved RNA secondary structure, the THI element, which is widely distributed in eubacteria and also occurs in some archaea. Analysis of operon structures identified a large number of new candidate thiamin-regulated genes, mostly transporters, in various prokaryotic organisms. The record is from RNAcentral. Lineage: Bacteria; Bacillati; Bacillota; Clostridia; Lachnospirales; Lachnospiraceae.